UGGGGAAUAUUGCACAAUGGGCGCAAGCCUGAUGCAGCCAUGCCGCGUGUGCGAAGAAGGCCUUCGGGUUGUAAAGCACUUUCAGCGAGGAGGAAGGUGGUGAGCUUAAUACGCUCAUCAAUUGACGUUACUCGCAGAAGAAGCACCGGCUAACUCCGUGCCAGCAGCCGCGGUAAUACGGAGGGUGCAAGCGUUAAUCGGAAUUACUGGGCGUAAAGCGCACGCAGGCGGUUUGUUAAGUCAGAUGUGAAAUCCCCGGGCUCAACCUGGGAACUGCAUUUGAAACUGGCAAGCUAGAGUCUCGUAGAGGGGGGUAGAAUUCCAGGUGUAGCGGUGAAAUGCGUAGAGAUCUGGAGGAAUACCGGUGGCGAAGGCGGCCCCCUGGACGAAGACUGACGCUCAGGUGCGAAAGCGUGGGGCAGCAAACAGGAUUAGAUACCCUGGUAGUCCACGCUGUAAACGAUGUCGAUUUUGGAGGUUGUGCCCUUGAGGCGUGGCUUCCGGAGCUAACGCGUUAAAUCGACCGCCUGGGGAGUACGGCCGCAAGGUUAAAACUCAAAUGAAUUGACGGGGUCU
Molecule: ribosomal RNA, 576 nt
Filed under: uncultured bacterium
Lineage: Bacteria
Description: partial 16S ribosomal RNA
Rfam family: Bacterial small subunit ribosomal RNA
Source: RNAcentral